CUAGGCCUGGGUCGGGGGAGUGGUUCUGGGAGGCAUCGGUGUGGAGGAGAUGAAUAAAGCCAUGGGUCUGUCCAUAGAGUGAAUGUAGAGGGCAGAGGAGGGUCAAGUUCACAGGUAUCCACCUCUGCAAAGGCCUGCAUCCACUUCUUAUUCUCCCCUCCGCAGAAGUAGAGCCAAACUUGUUUCUCAUGUAAUAACUCCCUGCUGAGGACUGUUGGGAAAUAAACUGUCUUCUCAUUUGAAGAUGAAUAAUCUUGGGGGCAUUUCCUUUUCUCCCAGAUCACAAAGUUUUCCACAUCCUUUGGAGAAGCUCAAAUCUUACCCAUAAGCAUCCUCAGACAGCACGUUUAGUUAUUUUCUGACAGUGUCUUAUUUUCUGAUGCCCUUUAGCCGGUGUACUGUUCCAUAUACUCAGCCCUGGGUGAAUGAUUUCCUGAGACGCUGGCUUUCUCCUGGCCCUUCAUAUCAACCAGUUACUCUUUGAUGGAAACAUGACAGCCAAGGAGGUGCCAAGAACCUCACCUAAGGUCGCACAGCUACUUGGCUUUGGGACUUGAGGUUACUGCCUUUCAGCUCUAUGCUCUUUCGACAGCAUCUUACACAACUUAUGGAAUGGUUGGAGAAGCAGGAAUCGCACCUCCGAAACAAUUACAGAACUCUCCGAGGGGAACAGAGUUCCCCUUGUUGGUGAUUUCCCAUCCACAGUGGGCUUGCUGCCAGUGUCUUUAUGUUGUUUUCUUAUAUAUGAUUGUUUGUGGGUUGUAAUUUUCUUUUGAGACACCGGGAAUUUCCAUAAUUAAAAAAUAGAAAGAUUCAGCAAAA
Galeopterus variegatus (Sunda flying lemur) is the source of this 822-nucleotide long non-coding RNA. RefSeq lists it as uncharacterized. The record is from RefSeq and is a predicted model, not a curated record. The transcript is spliced from 2 exons. NCBI's taxonomy places the organism in Eukaryota, Metazoa, Chordata, Mammalia, Dermoptera, Cynocephalidae.